UGAGUGAGGUAAGGCUGUUGA
Molecule: unclassified non-coding RNA, 21 nt
Filed under: Mus musculus (house mouse)
Lineage: Eukaryota; Metazoa; Chordata; Mammalia; Rodentia; Muridae
Description: oocyte_clustered_small_RNA10064
Source: RNAcentral